RNAcentral lists this ribosomal RNA (497 nucleotides) under uncultured bacterium. RNAcentral describes it as "partial 16S ribosomal RNA". It matches the Rfam family "Bacterial small subunit ribosomal RNA", at positions 28 to 507 of the family's 1533-position model. The record is from RNAcentral.
GAUGAACGCUGGCGGCGUGCCUAAUACAUGCAAGUCGAGCGAACAGACGAGGAGCUUGCUCCUUUGACGUUAGCGGCGGACGGGUGAGUAACACGUAGGUAACCUACCUAUAAGACUGGGAUAACUUCGGGAAACCGGAGCUAAUACCGGAUAAUAUUUCGAACCGCAUGGUUCGAUAGUGAAAGAUGGCUUUGCUAUCACUUAUAGAUGGACCUGCGCCGUAUUAGCUAGUUGGUAAGGUAACGGCUUACCAAGGCAACGAUACGUAGCCGACCUGAGAGGGUGAUCGGCCACACUGGAACUGAGACACGGUCCAGACUCCUACGGGAGGCAGCAGUAGGGAAUCUUCCGCAAUGGGCGAAAGCCUGACGGAGCAACGCCGCGUGAGUGAUGAAGGUCUUCGGAUCGUAAAACUCUGUUAUUAGGGAAGAGCAAACGUGUAAGUAACUGUGCACGUCUUGACGGUACCUAAUCAGAAAGCCACGGCUAACUACGUG